AUUGAACGCUGGCGGCAUGCUUUACACAUGCAAGUCGAACGGUAACAGGGAGCUUGCUCCGCUGACGAGUGGCGAACGGGUGAGUAAUGCAUCGGAACGUACCCAGUCGUGGGGGAUAACGUAGCGAAAGUUACGCUAAUACCGCAUACGUCCUGAGGGAGAAAGCGGGGGGACCGUAAGGCCUCGCGCGAUUGGAGCGGCCGAUGUCGGAUUAGCUAGUUGGUGGGGUAAAGGCCUACCAAGGCGACGAUCCGUAGCGGGUCUGAGAGGAUGAUCCGCCACACUGGGACUGAGACACGGCCCAGACUCCUACGGGAGGCAGCAGUGGGGAAUUUUGGACAAUGGGGGCAACCCUGAUCCAGCCAUGCCGCGUGAGUGAAGAAGGCCUUCGGGUUGUAAAGCUCUUUCAGACGGAAAGAAAACGCAUCGGUGAAUACCCGGUGUGGAUGACGGUACCGUAAGAAGAAGCACCGGCUAACUACGUG
RNAcentral lists this ribosomal RNA (485 nucleotides) under uncultured bacterium. Its description in RNAcentral is "bacterial SSU rRNA". It matches the Rfam family "Bacterial small subunit ribosomal RNA", at positions 29 to 507 of the family's 1533-position model. The record is from RNAcentral.